UGCAAGUCGAGCGGUAGAGAGAAGCUUGCUCCUCUUGAGAGCGGCGGACGGGUGAGUAAUGCCUAGGAAUCUGCCUGGUAGUGGGGGAUAACGUUCGGAAACGGACGCUAAUACCGCAUACGUCCUACGGGAGAAAGCAGGGGACCUUCGGGCCUUGCGCUAUCAGGUGAGCCUAGGUCGGAUUAGCUAGUUGGUGAGGUAAUGGCUCACCAAGGCGACGAUCCGUAACUGGUCUGAGAGGAUGAUCAGUCACACUGGAACUGAGACACGGUCCAGACUCCUACGGGAGGCAGCAGUGGGGAAUAUUGGACAAUGGGCGAAAGCCUGAUCCAGCCAUGCCGCGUGUGUGAAGAAGGUCUUCGGAUUGUAAAGCACUUUAAGUUGGGAGGAAGGGCAGUAAAUUAAUACUUUGCUGUUUUGACGUUACCGACAGAAUAAGCACCGGCUAACUCUGUGCCAGCAGCCGCGGUAAU
Molecule: ribosomal RNA, 473 nt
Filed under: uncultured bacterium
Lineage: Bacteria
Description: bacterial SSU rRNA
Rfam family: Bacterial small subunit ribosomal RNA
Source: RNAcentral